Molecule: ribosomal RNA, 490 nt
Filed under: uncultured bacterium
Lineage: Bacteria
Description: partial 16S ribosomal RNA
Rfam family: Bacterial small subunit ribosomal RNA
Source: RNAcentral
AUUGAACGCUGGCGGCAUGCUUUACACAUGCAAGUCGGACGGCAGCACAGAGAAGCUUGCUUCUUGGGUGGCGAGUGGCGAACGGGUGAGUAACAUAUCGGAACGUACCGAGCAGUGGGGGAUAACUAAUCGAAAGAUUAGCUAAUACCGCAUAUCUUCUGAGGAAGAAAGCAGGGGACCAUUUGGCCUUGCGCUGUUUGAGCGGCCGAUAUCUGAUUAGCUAGUUGGUGGGGUAAAGGCCUACCAAGGCGACGAUCAGUAGCGGGUCUGAGAGGAUGAUCCGCCACACUGGGACUGAGACACGGCCCAGACUCCUACGGGAGGCAGCAGUGGGGAAUUUUGGACAAUGGGCGCAAGCCUGAUCCAGCCAUGCCGCGUGUCUGAAGAAGGCCUUCGGGUUGUAAAGGACUUUUGUCAGGGAAGAAAAGAGCGGGGUUAAUACCCCUGUCUGAUGACGGUACCUGAAGAAUAAGCACCGGCUAACUACGUG